Molecule: long non-coding RNA, 770 nt
Organism: Quercus lobata
Lineage: Eukaryota; Viridiplantae; Streptophyta; Magnoliopsida; Fagales; Fagaceae
Exons: 4
Source: RefSeq, a predicted model, not a curated record
GAGAAAAGUGGAGUCAGAAGCUCUCUUUCUCAGUUUUAUUUUCGGAGAGUGUGGAGCUCUCAAUCUCAUCUUCUACCUCACUGCCUCUCUUCCUAUUUUCACAACUCAUAUCAUCAAAUCAACCAAGCACUAGUCUUUAGAGAUUCAUCCAAACAAAGAGAGAUUAGAUAUAAAUACCAAAUUUGGGUGGUGCUGAUCUGGUCUGUUACUCUGCUUCUGGUUUGGUUUGGUUUGGUUUGCUUCCACUGCCGUCUGCCCAACCCCGCCCACUCCCAGGUCCUAGUAUAUAAUGAAUGACACGUGGGGUCUAUAAAGUCUAAUGGUAAAAACUAGGCCACAAACACACCAAACCCCACUACACCGAAUCUGAGAAGCUAUCACAAACAGAGCUGCAAGAUAGGGGGAAAGAAUGGGCUGAGAAAUUGCGGAAGAACAACAAAGGCUUCUUGUGUAUUUGAAUGCAACAGGGGGGCAUACAUCAUCCUGGAAUCUCCUUUGAAGCAGUUACUCCAAGGUCAUAGGUCCUGAUAGUUUGACAAGACAUGAAGAUGAAAUCAAGAAAGAUUGCAUCUCAAUGUGCUAUGCAGGUAGCUACUCUACACUUCCUUUUUCAAAAAAAAAAAGUUCGUACGUCUUUUUUGAUACGAAAAUGUUCAUACUCUAUACAAUAAGACAUAGCGUUAGUGGGUUAUUAGGACUCAUAAAGUUACAGAUUGUAAUUAUAUUCUUGUUGUCAAUCAAUGGCCAUGUGUCUCAUAUAAACAAGUUGA